This is a long non-coding RNA of Engraulis encrasicolus (European anchovy), 5800 nucleotides long. RefSeq lists it as uncharacterized. NCBI's taxonomy places the organism in Eukaryota, Metazoa, Chordata, Actinopteri, Clupeiformes, Engraulidae. The record is from RefSeq and is a predicted model, not a curated record. The transcript has 2 exons.
ACAGGAAAAAAAUAAAACAAACACACAAAAAACCCAAUUAAUCAAACAAGAAAACAUAAACCAAUAAAACCUAAACUAAUAGAAAAACUAAUUCUGCUCAAAUGCAAUGUGUCCAUGCAUCCUGUAAUCAGCCUUCUGUUCUAUAAGCAGCAUUAUAAUUACGUCCGCCAAGUAGGUUAUGUGAUCGCCUGGGUUUGUGUGUGGACUGUGUGUGUUCGUUCACUGCUAUUUCACGGACUGCCACAGGGUGCGCGAGGUGAAUUGAGCACUGAGCACACUGGUGAAUAUCCCCUACUGCCGCACUCUCACGGCCUCACACAGGGUCGGUGUGUAUAGGGGAUAACGGACUGUCUUGCAACGUUUUGGAUGCCAGCUGCCGUUAAAACUGGAUCUAAAUAGGGUUUCUGCGAUGAACAGUCAACACUAGAGCUCAUUUUAUUUUGCGUGCACCCUCAGAGUUCGUCAAUGCCAAAUGCCCGCUGAUGCAUCAAACUUCUCUGACAUUCAUGAGCCCCAAAAGAUGCGUAUCCGACUAUUUGAUAUUAAAUAAUCACAGGAGACUAUGGGGCUUGCCUGUCCAGAGAACAGAAGCGCUGGCAGCUUGGAUUGAAAUAGCUUUAAGCCAAAGAUAUACCCACAUCGUGGGGGAAAAACACUCGUCAUAUAGCCUUUACGGCCGUGAAUGAUGUAGGCCUACAUGUCGUGCUGCGCUGAUGUUACACAGAAGUUCUGAACAGGCCAGCGUCUAAGACUCAGUGCUUUUAUGUUUCAUUACGCUAUUCAUCUCGGUCCACGCAUGUGGAUGUGCAUGUCUGUUAGUUCGUUUUAAGUUUAAGAACCAUCAUCCAUUAAUAACUGUACUGUAUUCUUAAGGCUUGCAAAUGACAGAACACUGCCAUGAAUGUGUCAUUUUGACAUUUUGAUAGCAGGAAUAUGUUGACAAAGGCUAGAAUUGCAAUCUAUGACCUGCCUUGGCGGAGGUGCGGUCUCUGAGCACUUUUCUAGUUACCAUUAUUGCUACGGUUAAGUAAAUACUUUCUAUACAAAUGCAAAUGGAUGUAAGCCUUGAUGCAUCUAGUUUAAUCAGGCUAUGUAGCUAUUAUAGAGUAGCACACAAUAUUUGGUGAAAAUCCACCCACCCGACCAACCCAAAAGUAGUGACCACGCAAAAAAACACGGAUGAAUGCAUAUAUUCUAUGGCCCAAAGUUUAAUAGGCCUACCUGUAUUAAAUUUCCAUUUGUAUGUAUUUCCAAUGUAGAAUUUGACCUUUAAACCUUAAAUGUACAGGACAGUGAAGAAAUGACAGGAAACAAGAUAGAGUAAGACGGUGAAGUGCUGGGAAAUUACUUGAAUCUGGGUCCCCACCAGACAGGUGCACCAGCGCGCUGUGCCACACCCACACCUGAAUUCGAUCUCUGAUGUCACCCAAUGACAACACUAUAGGCCUGACCACAAAAUGAGAUACAUAGAAUAACCAUCAGCUGUGUUGUGCUGUACUCAGUAUUAGCAACAUCUGAAUUAUAAGGCAUGGAAGGGAAGAGAAGAGAUUCCAGCCCAGAAUAAUAUGCAAAAACUACACAAAGAAUUGAAGAAUAGAGACGUAUGAUGCUUGCUGAAAUGGCCUUUUCCCCUUUAAAUUGACAUCACAUUUAGGGCUAUUUUAAAGGAUUUACAUGUGUACUCUUGCUGGAAACUUGCAAUAAGAUCCUUGUAAUACUGCUAAGCCAAAUCUAAUUCAGGCCCCAGUGCAUUGCCAGAAAACUGAAAGAGUAUGCAAAGGCACCCGUUUAGUGGUACACAACGUCUUCAGACUGUAUUUCAUUUUCAAAUCCAGAGCAUACCAGACAGUAAACACAGUAUCAAUUAAUCAUAAAUAACAACAAUCCCAAGUGGAAACCAGAGAGCAGCAAGCACAUGCCCAAAUCAAGUAGGAACCGAUUUGCUGACUGGGCUCAAGUGAGGAUACAUAAAGCCGCAGCCUCGGAGAAGUCCUGUAACAGAGUAUCACACUCAUACUCAUGCAAAGGUCUGGGAGACUCUUCAGACCAAUCAUGCUGAUGGAAGCCACAAGAGUGUUUCUUUUGUUCACAGUCCCAUGGUAUUGCCAAGAAAUGCUGAAAUGAAGGGCUUCUGGUCUGUAGGCCUCUACCUCUGCAAGCAUGAGAGAGCAAACUGAGGCCCAGACUGAACCCUUUGAUGAAACAGGUGUGUAUGUGGCUGGUGACUAAAGGCAUCAUGCCAUUACAACUUGAAAUUAAGGAACAGUCAGAGCCUUAUGGCAGUGAGGAUAGUGAGUCAAUGUCAAAUGACCAGUGGUUUGGAUUAAAGGAUAAGUCUCUCAGGAUAAGUCUCUCAGACCCUUUUCUGAGUUGCCUGCAAUGUAAUAGAAUGAUUCUUACCGUAAUGUUGAUGUUUGCCUCUGUCUAUUAUUUUGUUCAUUUUGCAUUUUGUCUCAGCCUACUUCAAAAUGUAUGGUUGUAUUAAAUUACUUCUCUAUACUGUUUAUAGUGUAGCGUUACGGGUCCAUACAUAUGCAACUUUCACAAAAGUAUGAUUGCUCAUGAAAAUGCAGCAUAUAUGUAUACAGUGCAUAUUUCACAAUAUAUAUCACUAGUUUGCCCUUUGAUUGGUGUACAGGAAAGCAUGUUUGAUAGCUGCCCUCAGUCCUGGAAUGCUUUAAUUGGAGAUCAUGCCGCAUGAGAUUUACUCCUAGCCUCCUACAGUGUUGCCAGAUUGGGUUUCCCAGGGCUGGUUCUAGUCCAUUUAGUGCCCUAGAAAAGUGGUUCUUAACCUGGGGUGCGGGCACCCCCUGGGGGUGCGCCAGAGAUUCCAGGGGGUGCGCGGAAUUUUGUUUGUGUUUAGGUAAUGACCAAAAUUGAGCUGGGAACAUUUUAAUUAGGUCAAAACAAACCAAAUGUAUCAUGUUUUGGUCCCCAUUUGGUGUCUAAUGCGAGAAUAAUUAGUAAUUAAUCACUUAAAUCAUCUUUUACACGUAUACCGUGUAGAAGUUUGGGAGGUUGGGGGUGCGCGGCUUAACUUGGGCACAGGUAGGGGGGUGCUUUAAGAAAAAAAGGUUAAGAACCACUGCCCUAGGCGAGCAUGCCCUUAUCCUUUGUGCAUUUAGACAUUAGCGUCUGAUCUGACUGAAUACAGAUCUAUUACCUACAUAUACGGAGUGCCCAUGACAACAUUGUCAAUGUAAGGUCUAAUGUUUUAUUUGCUUUCUAAUUCUGUGGGACCUUUGGGCUUUAUGGUGCCCCCGAGAUAUUUGGUGCCCUAGGCGACUGCCUUUUCUGCCUAUGCCUCACGUCAGCCCUGGGGUUUCCUGCCUCCCUGUGUGUAUAGAGUCGAGAUAGUGGGACCACUAGUGAAAUGGAGGAGCAUGGAGAGGAGGAGGUACAAUUCGAGAGCCUUCGCGCAUGACAAGAGAAUGAGCAGGAGGGAUUAAAUCUCAGAGAAGGCGGGAGAAGUAGGCAGCUUUCAAUCAUUCCCCGGUCUCCUCCCAAAUUGUUUUUUAAAAACAUUUUCUUUUUGUUGAGGAAAGGAUCAUCAUUGUGAACACAAUUAAUGUGUAUAUGAAUAAUUUCAUGUAAUAGUUUUAUUGUUAUUCAAUGUUUGACAAAAACAUUUGGACAUUAUAAUUAAAUGAUAUUAUAAUUAUGGCAGAAACAUAUUGACUAGGGGUGUAACGGUAUACAAAAAUCACGGUUUGGUACUCGGUUUUUGGGGUCACGGUUUGCUACAUUUUCGGUACAGUAUAAUUAUAUUAAAGGAAAAUACAUUCAAGCUGCUACUUUGGGUCGGAGAUUUCAGUGUAAGAAAUAGAACUUUUCUCAAAGUCUCAUAAAGAACAAGCCCCUACACCUGGUUUUUUUUUCUUGCAUUCUCUCUCAGUGUUCUGUAUGAGCCACUGCAUGUAGUGGCAGCAUAAUGUAAAAACAUGAACAAAGUUGCCUGUCGAACUACCUUUCGGUACAGCACUGUUCGGUUCGGUACAGGUCUGUUCGGUUCGGUACAAAUACAAUACAGUGUACCUUUACAGGCCUAAUAUUGACAUAAUUAAAAGAGGUGCUAUUACAUUUAAAUCCUGUUUGACUUUGAAGCGUACUAUGAUAACUUUUUUGUUUUUUUUGCAUUUAGUGUAAGCUAACAGGGAUGAGCAAAAAUACGCCACAAAGUAUUUCCAAAUACAAUUCAACUAAAAGUCAAACGCACUAUAUAAGUUACAAAACACAUUUGUAGUGGUUUAUUUUGCAUUUGAAUAUUUAUUUUUCAUUUUCAAAAUACAUAUCGAUCAUCUCUAGGGUUGUGGGUGUGUUCUGAUUGUCAUGCCAGUAAGUCUGGCUCUUUAGUGUAGCCGUCAGAGCCCCAGUUUGGUAUGCCAGAAGGUUUGCCGUCGAGUCCCGGCAGGGCAAUUCUACUCUACAUCUCUUCACUUCACAAACAGUGGCUUGUAAGAAUUAACCAACAGUUAAAUGAAUGUGAUGAUUGUAUUCAGUUAAACAACAACAAAAUGUACUUUAAUUCACACAAACUCCUGUAUAACCAUGAUUUCCAAUCAUUGAAUGCACAAUAAUGUUCAGAUCUUGCCAUUAUGGUGAAGGCUGUAAAAACAAUGGGCCACUUGUGUAACUUUCAGCACAACUAGCUCUUUAAAGCUUUUUUGCAAACUUCGCUAAUGCACCAAUUGUGGUCUUAAAGAACCAUUUUGUGGGUGAUACAUGGAGCAGCAUUAGUAAUGAUCUUGGUAACAACUUUGGUGCUUUGAAUGGUAAAUUGAAUUAUUGGUGGUAUGUCACCAAGAUUGGUAUUUCUUAAUUCGAAACACAAUCAUAAUAAAUAGGGAGGGUUUUUUUUUUUUUACUGGUAAUUGUUUAAUAAAAAAGUCACCUACAGGGGUUGGACAAAACAUUGCACCAGUAAGGUGAAGUGUGAAGAUUCAAUUAGCAGGGUAAGACUAAGAGCACAGUUUUGCUCAAAUGUUUGCAAUGCACAACAUUAUGGGUUACAUAAAGGAGUUCAAAAAGGAGAAAUUCAAACAAAUAAUCAUGUCAACCUUGAUUUUACUGUACUGUAGAUACCUGUAGCUUGUGGUUGAUACAAAAUAUGAAAAUGAUCAACAACAUUAAAGACUGAACUAUGAGAGAAAAAAAAUUAGGUAAAGCUCCCGGAGCUCCUGGAAACCUAAUUUGACGCAAAUAUGAUAAAUAACAAAUGGGAAUCACCUUUGAUAGAUUGAUUUUGUCCAUAGGACAUACAUUAGCCAAUGAAUGAAGAUAAGGGAGCUGUCUGGUGACACCCGAAAUACAAUUGUUUUCAAAAACAAGACCUCCAAUAAAAGGUCAUCUCAAAAGGCCUUGACCGCAUCACAGGUAUCAUGACAGGCGUCACAGGUAUCACAGGACAAUGUUUAACCCUGUGCAAGAACACUUGGUUUGAGGUGAAGAUCAUGUGCACUCCAGCAAGAGAAAAACCCAUAGCACACAUCUAAAAGCACAGUGAUGGUUGAACUUUAUUACAUGCUCUUAGCCCAAUAGGCAGAUACACAACAUAUACAUAAAAUAGGCAGGACAAGAAAAGGAAGAGAAAAAAAAACAAGCAAUGAAGCCAAAGCAAAUACAAACAUACCCUCUGUCGUGACAGUCUUAAAGGCAGUCAUAUCAAUGCUUCCACAUAUGAUUGAUAUCUGACAGAGCUGCAUCUGGCACCUGGGAGAAUUAUUACAAUACAGUUUUCAGAUUUAUCCAGACGACACAGGAACUUAAACAUUAGCUUCCUCAAAUAGCCUGUAAAGUACAG